AUCUCUGACGUGCCGUCUCUGAAGAGACGAGGUGCGCCAAACACUACGUAAGGCAGAGACCGAGACGGGCAGGAACACGGUCGGAAACACACUGUGGCGUGCAGAGGCCGGCUGGUGCAGACAACGAGGCAGUCAGCAACGGGCUGACAUAGAUGCCGAGUCCGGCACAGACAGGAUAUGGCAUUCACCGAGGCUGGCAUACAUCUCUUGGGGAGAGUUUAGAAAUCCGGUCUCUGUCGGACUGUUUCUGAUGUACUGUCUGUGACGAACGCGGUCUGUGCCUGCACGCACUCUGAUGUGCCGUCUCUGAAUAGCCGAGGUGCGGCGACCCCCACCUAAGGCAGAGACCAAGAGGGGCAGGAAAACGGUCGGCCACACAGCGAGUCAUGGAGAGGCCGGUUUGUGCAGACACCGACGCAUUCAACAACAGGUUGAUAUUUGACUAAGGACACCAAUAUGUUACCAGCCGUUUGACGUGCGCCCCGAAUUCCGCGCCCACCAAUAUUUGCAAAUAAUGUACCAGAGAUUUAUAUUCAGUGUUUUUCUGUGGCGAUUUAUAUUAAUAAUUGACGUACUAUCAUUCACGAAUGUUUAGUCCGAUUCCUUCGUUAUAUGAUACUUAUUUAUAAUGUAUUAGAUUGGGUCAUCGUUACUCAUGAAUCUGCUACGUAUUUGGGUCAACAUCUACACUGCAUCAAUUUUGCAAGAAACAAUUCUUCUGUUAUCAUUAUGUAAUUUUAGACGUGUUAUGAUGUAUUACACGCAUAUAAGCACUAUUUGUGUUAUAUGGGAAUUGUGUAAGCGCGUAAUAUCGUUAUUGGUAAGUGGUCGUGGCCGAUUUUGCGCAUCCUCCACCUCACGAUUCAGGAUUGUCCGCGGUGUUACAUCAGAGAGUAAAUGGACACAGCUCCUAUCUCGUUUUAUAGUAGACUUUUGUCCUCUGCCGAAAAACGCUACAAUACUUAUGAGAAAGAAUAUUUGGCAGUGUUAUUCGACUGUGAAAAGUGUAGGAGUAACCUUGAACACAAGGAAUUUGAAUUACAGUGUGAUAAUCUGGCUCUGGCUUGGCUCCUUAGAGGGGUUAAAGAUGUAGGUCAGCUAGGCCGGUGGAUAAUGCGACUCGCGCACAUUAAGUUUAGAGUCACACAUACUCGGGGAAUUGAUAAUGUGGUGGCUGAUGGGUUAUCGCGUAUGUUUGAAGGAUGGGAGGCCGUUGAACCGGAAGCGAGUUGUAUGGCUUGUUGCAAAUGUUGCCCCUAGUGUAUUCUUCCCUUGCGGAACAGCAGAAAGAGGAUCCCUUUUGUUUGGAUUUCCUUGAGAGGGGGAGAAAUGGUGAGUUGGUCGGAGGGAACUUUCGUGUAGACCAAGAUCUCCUUUGCUAUCAACUGAGAGGAGUUAAGCGAAGGCGUUAUUAUAUCCCUCCUCCAUUACGAACGAUGCUGGUCAAAUAUUUUAUAUGAUUCUCCGCUUUCGGGACAUCUUGGGGCCUUUAAGACUUUGAAGAAGAUCACGUAUAAUUUCUAUUGGCCCAAGAUGAGGUAUGAGGUGUCUGGCUUUGUCCAGACUUGUGACUUGUGUCAGCUAGCGAAGGCCGCUCAUAAUACUCAAAUUGGGUUUCAUUCGGCAAUCCCAUUAUCUCGGCCGUUCAUUGAUUUUAUGUGUGCGAUGGUUAGAACCAAACGAGGAAAUCAAGCUAUUUUGGUCGUGUUUGAUGGAUUUUCUAAGUUUGUUGCCUUUUACCCGGUUCGGAAUAGUAACGCGACAACGGUUAGCGACGUUUUGGAACGUCGGUACUUUCCGGCUCAUGGUAUCCCUGCCUCAGUGGUAUUGGACAAUGCUAAAGUUUUCCGAUCUAAAGGUUUUUGUGAUUUGUGUUUUAAGUGGGGAAUUAAGCGAAUAAACACGACGCCUUAGUAUCCUCAGGGGUCGCUGGUUGAAAGAGUUAACCAUAAUCUUAAGUCUGCAUUGAAAAUGUUUCAUCAUAGCUCCCAGAAGUCGUGGGACGAGGAUCUUCGCUCAUUUAAUACUGCCGUCCAUGAGAGUACCAAAUUUACCCCGGCUAAAUUAUUUUUGGGACAGGAAAUUAAAUCACCCUUAGAAAUUAAUUGGAAUUUCAGCCCUGAGCUACAUGAGGAGGGUCAUCCCAUUGAGUCGUUUUGGACUCAAGCGUAUGAAAAUUUGAAAGCAGCGAAUCGCAGGGUUGCACGAAGGUUCAAUGAAGGACGCAUUUCAAAUUCAUUUGAGCUUGGAGAUACUGUAGUGUAUCGGAUGAAUUUAAUGAGUAAUAGAGUCCGCGAAACUUCUGCCAAAUUACUGCUGAAAUGGUCGAAGCCAGUGGUAAUUGCGAAAUGUUUGAAAGAAAAUUUUGUGUUGUUAGCUAAUCCGGAAACUGGGCUCAUUGUAAGGAAAGCCCAUGUUUGUCAAUUAAAAAGAUACAAGGCAUAAUUUUUAUGUAUUCUUGUUGUAUGAGCUGUGUCUGGCGAGAAUCAGGUUUAGAGGUGUAUAUUUGCAUCUGUCUCCGGCCUUCCCCUAACGCAAGGCCACACACAGCCUUUUGUUUCGUCGAUCUCUUCUGGAGGCGCCGUCGGUGGAUGGAGUUCCACGAUAGGCGAUCUUGUGGAGAAGAGGAUUAUCUUCGCCUGAUCACGGAGGCGGACCCUGUUUGGUGGGCCGCUACAAGGUAGCGAAAGUCACUGAGACUGUGAGGUCUCUCAUGAGAAAAUGUAUAUGACAGUACCAAGUGGAACUGCAAUCCCCUGGAGAAGCUGAUGAUCAUCGCUAGACUGCAGUUGCCGACCCUGCCAUGUGGGUUGAUGCAUGGCAGAACCCUUAUCAACGGUGUAACUAUCCGCUGAGACCUCUUAGGAGGACGCCUAGGGGACCGUGCCGAGUGGAAUGGACGAGGGUGCGAGUCGCUGCGGACGAGUCACGGGUGGAUGCCAUUGGGCCACUGGUGUGGCCUGUUCCUGGUACUGAGAAAUGUGCAUGAGGUGGUGUUUGCAAAUGGAACGGUGGACCUGAUAUCUGGUGGAAGAUAGGGUGGCAAAAACUUGUUUUGACCUCUGCACGGGAGUAUAUUUGAGCGAAGCUAGAGCUGGCUCUGGUGUUUGAGACGGCGGAUGGUGCGCAUGCCUGCGGGGAGGUUAAGCUUGUUGGAGAGGGAACUGAUGCGGACCAACCCUUCUCUCCAGAACACAAAGAAGUCAGUGAGACACUCUCUCUCAGCUGGUCUGUAGCUGCAGUGUGCAAACAUUUUUGUUUAUCGUAGCCAUUGUGUUUCUGCCGUGGGCCGAGAGGUGACAGCUCCGUUCCGUCUUACCGCACAUACCAGUCAGAACGUCGAUACACACAUCUUUGAGACAUGUUGGCUGUACCUUGUUCUUUGACGACACACUACGAAUCAGUAUCUUAUAUACAGCGUGUUACAAAAUUACGCAAUGGUAGAAAAACUCAAAACGAAAAUGUGAAAGGAUGAAUUGUGUACAGGGGACCGUCAGAUGGGACAAGUGUAUGAAUCACUGUGGGAGGACCAAAAGUCAUAGGACGUGAUGUACAG
Non-coding RNA from Zootermopsis nevadensis, 3556 nucleotides. NCBI's taxonomy places the organism in Eukaryota, Metazoa, Arthropoda, Insecta, Blattodea, Termopsidae. The record is from RefSeq and is a predicted model, not a curated record.